RNAcentral lists this ribosomal RNA (607 nucleotides) under uncultured archaeon. RNAcentral's name for it is "bacterial SSU rRNA". It matches the Rfam family "Archaeal small subunit ribosomal RNA", at positions 271 to 879 of the family's 1478-position model. The record is from RNAcentral.
GGGCCGUGAGAGCGGUAGCCNNGGAGAUGGGCACUGAGACAAGNNCCCAGGUCCUACGGGGCGCAGCAUGCGCGAAAACUCCACAAUGCGCGAAAGCGUGAUGGGGCUACCCCGAGUGCCGUCCGCUGAGGAUGGCUUUUCUCUGGUGUAAGGGGCCGGAGGAAUAAGGGGAGGGCAAGCCUGGUGUCAGCCGCCGCGGUAAUACCAGCUCCCCGAGUGGUAGGGAUAAUUAUUGGGCUUAAAGCGUCCGUAGCCAGCUUAACAAGUCUUUCGUUAAAUCCAGCGAUUCAAUCGUUGGACUGCGGGAGAUACUGUUAGGCUAGGGGGCGGAAGAGGCCGACGGUAUUCUCGGAGUAGGGGUGAAAUCCUAUAAUCCCGAGAGGACCACCAGUGGCGAAGGCGGUCGGCUAGAACGCGCCCGACGGUGAGGGACGAAAGCUGGGGGAGCGAACCGGAUUAGAUACCCGGGUAGUCCCAGCUGUAAACUAUGCGGGCUAGGUGUUGGGGCGGCUACGAGCCGCCUCGGUGCCGCAGGGAAACCGUUAAGCCCGCCGCCUGGGAAGUACGGCCGCAAGGCUGAAACUUAAAGGAAUUGGCGGGGGAGCAC